UGCUGACUAGUGGCGAACGGGUGAGUAAUACAUCGGAACGUGCCUAGUAAUGGGGGAUAACUACUCGAAAGAGUAGCUAAUACCGCAUGAGAUCUACGGAUGAAAGCAGGGGACCUUCGGGCCUUGUGCUACUAGAGCGGCUGAUGGCACAUUAUGUAGUUGGUGGGGUAAAGGCUUACCAAGCCUGCGAUCUGUAGCUGGUCUGAUAGGACGACCAGCCACACUGGGACUGAGACACGGCCCAGACUCCUACAGGAGGCAGCAGUGGGGAAUUUUGGACAAUGGGCGAAAGCCUGAUCCACCAAUGCCGCGUGCAGGAUGAAGGCCCUCGGGUUGUAAACUGCUUUUGUACGGAACGAAAAGCCUGGGGCUAAUAUCCCCGGGUCAUGACGGUACCGUAAGAAUAAGCACCGGCUAACUACGUGCCAUCAGCCGCGGUAAUACGUAAGGUGCAAGCGUUAAUCGGAAUUACUGGGCGUAAAGCGUGCGCAGGCGGUUUUGUAAGACAGUGGUGAAAUCCCCGGGCUCAACCUGGGAACUGCCAUUGUGACUGCAAGGCUAGAGUGCGGCAGAGGGGGAUGGAAUUCCGCGUGUACCAGUGAAAUGCGUAGAUAUGCGGAGGAACACCGAUGG
RNAcentral lists this ribosomal RNA (633 nucleotides) under Comamonas testosteroni. Its description in RNAcentral is "bacterial SSU rRNA". It matches the Rfam family "Bacterial small subunit ribosomal RNA", at positions 86 to 715 of the family's 1533-position model. Lineage: Bacteria; Pseudomonadati; Pseudomonadota; Betaproteobacteria; Burkholderiales; Comamonadaceae. The record is from RNAcentral.